GCAAGCCGGCGGCGGGCGCCGGGCGCGCCCGGCGACGGGCGCGCCUGAGGAAGCUCCGCCACCCAGCGGGCCCCGCGACCGCUGCAAAGCGGUAGGGCGAGAGCCCUGGCAACGGCACAGAAACGAGACCCCCUCCAGCGGAUGGGCGUGACGCGACUGAGGGGGCCACCCCCUGAGAAGUCCCCCGGCAACGGGGGGCGAGCUAACUCGCCGACGACGCUGGAGGGUCGGGUGAAACGGCCGACCCGCGGGGUGCAGGGCCAAACAGGGCCUGUGAGGCCCGCACGAGGCCCGGGUGGGCCCCAAGACGGAUCCCGCUGAACAGAAGGCGGGCUACGACCGGCUUGC
RNAcentral lists this RNase P RNA (348 nucleotides) under Thermoprotei archaeon. Its description in RNAcentral is "RNase P RNA component". It matches the Rfam family "Archaeal RNase P". Rfam says of the family: Ribonuclease P (RNase P) is a ubiquitous endoribonuclease, found in archaea, bacteria and eukarya as well as chloroplasts and mitochondria. Its best characterised activity is the generation of mature 5'-ends of tRNAs by cleaving the 5'-leader elements of precursor-tRNAs. Lineage: Archaea; Thermoproteati; Thermoproteota; Thermoprotei. The record is from RNAcentral.